UUCGAAAUCCAGCUCUCCUGGGAUGCAGUCAUCAUCUGAGGUGCAGUUUGCGUUCGGGAUGUUGAAAUGCUGAGUAUCGUAUUAAUGACAUCACCACCCUGGAAAGAAAAUGCAGAAAUGUCUAAAAGGAGAACAUGGACAUGUGUGUCCCAGAUAGAUCCGGAUUAAAGGGUGUAUUCUUUCUUUUCUCUCCUCUCUCACCUCAGACGGGCUGGCGUACUCGGUCGUGUCCCGUACACUAUCCCCUAGUACAGCGACUCCCCUCAUCUCAGUGUACACAGAACUCUCGGGACGCUCCUCAG
Silurus meridionalis is the source of this 302-nucleotide long non-coding RNA. RefSeq lists it as uncharacterized. The transcript has 3 exons. NCBI's taxonomy places the organism in Eukaryota, Metazoa, Chordata, Actinopteri, Siluriformes, Siluridae. The record is from RefSeq and is a predicted model, not a curated record.